UGCCAGCAGCCGCGGUAAUACGGAGGGAGCUAGCGUUGUUCGGAAUUACUGGGCGUAAAGCGCGCGUAGGCGGCGACUCAAGUCAGAGGUGAAAGCCCGGGGCUCAACCCCGGAACUGCCUUUGAAACUAGGUUGCUAGAAUCUUGGAGAGGUCAGUGGAAUUCCGAGUGUAGAGGUGAAAUUCGUAGAUAUUCGGAAGAACACCAGUGGCGAAGGCGACUGACUGGACAAGUAUUGACGCUGAGGUGCGAAAGCGUGGGGAGCAAACAGGAUUAGAUA
Molecule: ribosomal RNA, 279 nt
Filed under: uncultured bacterium
Lineage: Bacteria
Description: partial 16S ribosomal RNA
Rfam family: Bacterial small subunit ribosomal RNA
Source: RNAcentral